Molecule: transfer RNA, 76 nt
Filed under: Gammaproteobacteria bacterium
Lineage: Bacteria; Pseudomonadati; Pseudomonadota; Gammaproteobacteria
Description: tRNA-Val
Rfam family: tRNA
About the family: Transfer RNA (tRNA) molecules are approximately 80 nucleotides in length. Their secondary structure includes four short double-helical elements and three loops (D, anti-codon, and T loops).
Source: RNAcentral
GGGUGCUUAGCUCAGUUGGUAGAGCAUCGCCCUUACAAGGCGAGGGUCGUAGGUUCAAGUCCUACAGCACCCACCA